CUGCACUUCACACUGAACCCGGAAGUGCAGGGAGGCGGACCAGGAGUCCCUGCAGCACAUGUGCUAGCUCUGACAGCCUGUGCUCCCGGUCUGCCCCUAAUACAGAGGCAGACGGGAGCAGCGUUAAUCGCGGUGAUCUGGGGUCAACUUUACCGCAUGACGGACCUGGUCCGUCAUUCUGCAUUAACAGUUUCUCCGCCUUGAUGGACCAGGUCCGUCACUCGGCGGGAACAGGUUAAGAGGUUACCUUGGAGCCCCAUUGCUUUUUAACGAGCUUUCCAGGAAUUCCCACCUGACCCGGUCACCCGCCUUCUCGGCAUCCAAUGACU
This is a non-coding RNA of Pelobates cultripes (western spadefoot toad), 329 nucleotides long. NCBI's taxonomy places the organism in Eukaryota, Metazoa, Chordata, Amphibia, Anura, Pelobatidae. The record is from the annotation of a GenBank genome assembly.